AGUGAACGCUGGCGGUAGGCCUAACACAUGCAAGUCGAACGGCAGCACAGUAAGAGCUUGCUCUUACGGGUGGCGAGUGGCGGACGGGUGAGGAAUACAUCGGAAUCUACUUUUUCGUGGGGGAUAACGUAGGGAAACUUACGCUAAUACCGCAUACGACCUACGGUUGAAAGCAGGGGAUCUUCGGACCUUGCGCGAUUGAAUGAGCCGAUGUCGGAUUAGCUAGUUGGCGGGGUAAAGGCCCACCAAGUCGACGAUCCGUAGCUGGUCUGAGAGGAUGAUCAGCCACACUGGAACUGAGACACGGUCCAGACUCCUACGGGAGGCAGCAGUGGGGAAUAUUGGACAAUGGGCGCAAGCCUGAUCCAGCCAUACCGCGUGGGUGAAGAAGGCCUUCGGGUUGUAAAGCCCUUUUGUUGGGAAAGAAAAGCAGCAGGUUAAUACCCCGCUGUUCUGACGGUACCCAAAGAAUAAGCACCGGCUAACUUCGUG
RNAcentral lists this ribosomal RNA (492 nucleotides) under uncultured bacterium. RNAcentral's name for it is "partial 16S ribosomal RNA". It matches the Rfam family "Bacterial small subunit ribosomal RNA", at positions 29 to 507 of the family's 1533-position model. The record is from RNAcentral.